RNAcentral lists this transfer RNA (73 nucleotides) under Plesiolebias aruana. RNAcentral's name for it is "tRNA-Asn". It matches the Rfam family "tRNA". From Rfam's summary of the family: Transfer RNA (tRNA) molecules are approximately 80 nucleotides in length. Their secondary structure includes four short double-helical elements and three loops (D, anti-codon, and T loops). Lineage: Eukaryota; Metazoa; Chordata; Actinopteri; Cyprinodontiformes; Rivulidae. The record is from RNAcentral.
UAGAUAGAUGCUCGUUAGUUUGGGCGCUUAACUGUUAAUUAAGAGUUUGUAGGAUCAAAGCCUUCUUAUCUAG